Molecule: ribosomal RNA, 570 nt
Filed under: Salmonella enterica
Lineage: Bacteria; Pseudomonadati; Pseudomonadota; Gammaproteobacteria; Enterobacterales; Enterobacteriaceae
Also listed under: 5 other names
Description: partial 23S ribosomal RNA
Rfam family: Bacterial large subunit ribosomal RNA
Source: RNAcentral
CCGUGAUCCGGGUUGCGGACAGUGUCUGGUGGGUAGUUUGACUGGGGCGGUCUCCUCCUAAAGAGUAACGGAGGAGCACGAAGGUUGGCUAAUCCUGGUCGGACAUCAGGAGGUUAGUGCAAUGGCAUAAGCCAGCUUGACUGCGAGCGUGACGGCGCGAGCAGGUGCGAAAGCAGGUCAUAGUGAUCCGGUGGUUCUGAAUGGAAGGGCCAUCGCUCAACGGAUAAAAGGUACUCCGGGGAUAACAGGCUGAUACCGCCCAAGAGUUCAUAUCGACGGCGGUGUUUGGCACCUCGAUGUCGGCUCAUCACAUCCUGGGGCUGAAGUAGGUCCCAAGGGUAUGGCUGUUCGCCAUUUAAAGUGGUACGCGAGCUGGGUUUAGAACGUCGUGAGACAGUUCGGUCCCUAUCUGCCGUGGGCGCUGGAGAACUGAGGGGGGCUGCUCCUAGUACGAGAGGACCGGAGUGGACGCAUCACUGGUGUUCGGGUUGUCAUGCCAAUGGCACUGCCCGGUAGCUAAAUGCGGAAGAGAUAAGUGCUGAAAGCAUCUAAGCACGAAACUUGCCCCGA